GACGAACGCUGGCGGCGUGCUUAACACAUGCAAGUCGAACGGAAAGGCCCUGCUUUUGUGGGGUGCUCGAGUGGCGAACGGGUGAGUAACCCGUGAGUAACCUGCCCUUGACUUUGGGAUAACUUCAGGAAACUGGGGCUAAUACCGGAUAGGAGCUCCUGCUGCAUGGUGGGGGUUGGAAAGCUUCGGCGGUUGGGGAUGGACUCGCGGCUUAUCAGCUUGGUGGUGGGGUAGUGGCUUACCAAGGCUUUGACGGGUAGCCGGCCUGAGAGGGUGACCGGGCACAUGGGGACUGAGGUAGGGCCCAGACUCCUACGGGAGGCAGCAGUGGGGAAUAUGGCACAAUGGGCGGAAGCCUGAUGCAGCAACGCCGCGUGCGGGAUGACGGCCUUCGGGUUGUAAACCGCUUUCGCCUGUGACGAAGCGUGAGUGACGGUAAUGGGUAAAGAAGCACCGGCUAACUACGUG
This 468-nucleotide ribosomal RNA is filed under the name uncultured bacterium. RNAcentral's name for it is "partial 16S ribosomal RNA". It matches the Rfam family "Bacterial small subunit ribosomal RNA", at positions 28 to 507 of the family's 1533-position model. The record is from RNAcentral.